Molecule: long non-coding RNA, 536 nt
Filed under: Betta splendens (Siamese fighting fish)
Lineage: Eukaryota; Metazoa; Chordata; Actinopteri; Anabantiformes; Osphronemidae
Description: lncRNA (ENSBSLG00000024998.1)
Source: RNAcentral
UAAUAUUAAUACAAUUAAAUGGGUGCUUUUGAAUUAGGCUUCAGCAGUGCACCCUAAUGGUUUGAAACACGAGCUGUGUCCAUGCUUCUCCUUCGGGGGGAGGGAGGAGGAUGCGGAACCGGGACAAUUGGACCUUUUUCUCGUCAGUAUCUCUCGCCGCCCGCAGUAUUUCAUCAGGAAAUAUGGUACACGCUGCAGAUAAAACAAAGCUAGUGCCUGGAAAGGGCGUGGAGCAUGAGAUUCGCUGGCUGCUACAGUCUGAGACCGACCCGGUCCAGAUCCGGGCCACCUGUGUGGGCUAGCCUGCCCUCCCGUCUGCCCCCCCACCCCCCCGUCUCCAGGAAGUGGUCACCAGGCAGUCUAUUGCCUUUCAUUCCCUCCCCUUCAACUUCACAAGCAGCGCAGAGAAGCUGAAAGCUGGCAGAAAUGUGCAUUCACUGUAAACGGCUGUGAUUAAUGAAGAAAAAGAAAGAAAAUAGCGCAAUAUCAAAUCCUGAAAAUGUGUGAAAUAAAAGCUAGAACAGAUGGAACGAGCA